This 164-nucleotide ribosomal RNA is filed under the name Eleusine floccifolia. Its description in RNAcentral is "5.8S ribosomal RNA". It matches the Rfam family "5.8S ribosomal RNA". From Rfam's summary of the family: 5.8S ribosomal RNA (5.8S rRNA) is a component of the large subunit of the eukaryotic ribosome. The record is from RNAcentral. Lineage: Eukaryota; Viridiplantae; Streptophyta; Magnoliopsida; Poales; Poaceae.
AUCAUGACUCUCGGCAACGGAUAUCUUGGCUCUCGCAUCGAUGAAAAACGCAGCAAAAUGCGAUACCUGGUGUGAAUUGCAGAAUCCCGUGAACCAUCGAGUUUUUGAACGCAAGUUGCGCCCGAGGCCUUUUGGUCGAGGGCACGUCUGCCUGGGCGUCACGU